GGAAACUAAACAUAGAUGUAAUGUAGUAUGCCUAUAUGUAUGCAUCCACAUACAUGUGUGUGUUCAAUUGUGUGUGUGUGUGUGGUGUGUGUUUGUGUAUGUGCAUGUGUGUGUAUGUACAGGGGUGCAGGAAAUCCUCUCCUAAAAACACAAUCUUCUAAUGAGCAGGAACAUCAAAGACUUGAGGAAAAUCUUCAGUCCCUGAUGAAGCAGAGGGAGCUGCUCACCCGGCAAAGGGACUUGGCAGUAAAACUGCAGCAACACUUCACUGUGUCCCAGAUGAGGUUUGAAAACCUCCAGCAGGAACUGGGGCAGACCACAGCCCAGGAUGAGAGCCUCCUGCAGAUGGAGCUGCUGAAGCAGAAACACUAUGUCCCAGGCAACACCUGUUAAGAAGACUGAGAAGGCUGGAUGAAGCCAGGAACACCUUGAAGGCAUGACAUUCUACACUCCAGGUUCAAGGCCUCCUCAGAAAAUGCCACCUCUUUUCAGCUUUGAACUCACUAGUGAGGCAAAUAUCAACGUACCAUCAGGGGAUCCAGCCUCAAUCUGAUCCAUAUCAGUGGGCUCACUAUCACUGGAGAAAAUUUUGUGUCAGAAAUAAGUCUAAAAUACAGAGAACACAAGACAAAUUAUUAAGAACCCUGACUCCAUAUGUGAUGGGAAAUCUGACAAGCAAGACUGUGUUAACGUCACACUGCCAUCUAGACAGAACACACCAAAAGCACAAGAAUCUCUCUACUGCAGUGCUGAAGCUGACACCAUGUCAUGGGCAAGUGUAGCUGAAGAUAAUUCACUAAGGAGAAUAAGCCAGUUCCUCACCGCUUUUGCUCUUCCAUAAUGAAAUUACAAAGGAAACUGUAAAUUCCUUAAUAUUUUUGUUUUAUAUCUUGGGAUAUUUAUGCUUUGGUUUUUGGUUUUCUUCAUUUUCAUUUAAGGUUUUGUUAACUUUUGUUAUUACUUUUAUCUUGUCAUUGCUUUAAUAGUUUGCUAAGGCUAUACACUGUAUAUAAUGAUACUGUUUUAAAGGCCCCAUUGAGUAAAAUGAAUGUAUUUUAUGA
Molecule: long non-coding RNA, 1061 nt
Organism: Peromyscus eremicus (cactus mouse)
Lineage: Eukaryota; Metazoa; Chordata; Mammalia; Rodentia; Cricetidae
Exons: 3
Source: RefSeq, a predicted model, not a curated record